Non-coding RNA from Phormidesmis priestleyi Ana, 73 nucleotides. Lineage: Bacteria; Bacillati; Cyanobacteriota; Cyanophyceae; Leptolyngbyales; Leptolyngbyaceae. The record is from Rfam.
GCCGGGAUAGCUCAGCUGGUAGAGCAGUGGACUGAAAAUCCUCGUGUCCGGGGUUCAAGUCCCCGUCCUGGCA